Long non-coding RNA from Fundulus heteroclitus (mummichog), 329 nucleotides. RefSeq lists it as uncharacterized. The record is from RefSeq and is a predicted model, not a curated record. The transcript is spliced from 3 exons. Lineage: Eukaryota; Metazoa; Chordata; Actinopteri; Cyprinodontiformes; Fundulidae.
AAGCGACAGAGAACUAAAGAACAUGACGGGUCAGUUAUUUUAAUAAGUUCUCCAGAGACACCAGCGCAACACGCUCACUUCUCCGAGGAAGCGUCAGCUCUCCAGCUCACCACGUCAGACGGCCUCCCUUGAAAUGCUAAUCAGGGGACAACGCUUCCCGCAACUCCCGCAGUAACAACCCACCGAGACAUUCUCGCUCAAGCAGUCUUUACGGCCGGAAUACUGCCUCCCCCGAUACAUUUAGCCAGCCAGACGUACCCUGGUGCCAGAAGAAAACACAAGAGGCCCAGUCUCAGAAGCCUACGUUCGUCAGUCCUGAGAUUUCAGCA